RNA transcript from Mya arenaria, 4710 nucleotides. RefSeq lists it as uncharacterized. The record is from RefSeq and is a predicted model, not a curated record. Lineage: Eukaryota; Metazoa; Mollusca; Bivalvia; Myida; Myidae. The transcript has 2 exons.
UCCAUGGUGGAAAAUAUCAAUUCCACUUUGUCCAAACUUCACGUCCUGAAUUAAGUUCAAAUUCUCAUUCUGGAACUAAGUUAAAGCCUGUAAAAAGAAAAGCUUCCUGUACAUUUCCAAAUGAAUGGUCAAGUAUCUUGCUGACAAAUUUACGAUUCUGUUCUCAUGCCAUAACUAUGCAGAACUUAUUUCUGAAUUUGAUUUUAGACGAAGGAAUUGUUGAUUGCAAAAAACUAAGUUUUCUUAAGUUAGAAUAUGACACUGCUCUAUUAGCAUCAGCCAAAACCUGCACCAAAGGUGUUUUUGUUUGUCAUGUAUUUAAAAUCAUUGUAGACAAUGCUGAAUAUCUGUACAUCCGCUAUGUUGAGUCUGGAGUGUAUGCUGGCCUAAUGGAACAGAAAUAUUUGCAAGAAAUCAAAGAUACAUUUCAUUACACUGACAAUAAUAUGUUUUUGCAUAAUACAUUAACAGUGGAAGAUAUACAGAACAUGGAAUCUGAUCAUAUAAAAGAUAAAAAGGAAAAGCCGAAUACAUAUAAGCCCAGCAGCAGACUUAAUGAUUUCUUUAAGCAAAAAUUCAUUCCAGGUAUUGCUGAUACAAGACAAAUGAAUGACACUGAUAAUAUUAAUUGUUUAUCCUUUGCAGUAUCAAUUUUGCCCUUUUCUUCAACCUCAACUGCCAAGUUUAUGGAUGCUUGUACUGCAGGAAAGGAAGACCGUCUUCAAGCUUUGCUUUUAGAUUUUAGGCACUCAAAAUUGGAACAGGUUCCUCGAAACUCGAGGGAAAUAUUUCAGCAGCAAUAUGAAGGAGAAGAAACCCUUUUAAGUCAGUCAAAGGCAUUAAAUUGUUUACCAGGUGAUGUCAAAAGAAAAACCGAACUAUUCAAAGGUGAUCCAAAAUUUGCAUCCAACUUCAUAAACAAGAAAAAACCUCAACUCAGAACAUCACUUAGAUAUCUUACUUUCAGUCUCUUUUUGCAGAAUGAAAUUAAUACAAUUUUCACUAAGUAUAGAACAUAUUACCCAGAUUUAAAUGCGGUUCAAUGUGAGGUUUUAGAAAUUCCUGCACUAGAGAGGCCAUCUAAGAAGAGGAAAAGCACAGCCUCUGUGAAGGUGACAAAAGAUGUGGAGCCAUUGAGUGUUAUGCAGGAAUCAAAAAAAUCUAUGUAUGAACAAUUUUCUAUUGAUUUAAUAGAGGAUGGAAAGAUAUAUAUUCAGGUAGCUGAGGAAGACACCAUGAUAUGUUGUAUGAAUGAUUAUAAUGAUUCUGGUUCUUUAAGAAAAGAAGUGUAUGUUUAUACCACUUGGCUAAAGCAAGAAUCUGGAGACUACUUCCAUUGUACCUGCAGUAUAUAUAGAACUUUAUUUGAUAUAGCUCAUAGCCAAACUCUAAAUUAUUCAAACAGGAAUAGCUGCAUGCACUGUACAUUCCUUAAGUGUAUUGUUCUUCCAAAUCUACAGAUAGAUGAAAGGGCUACAGAAACCAAAACCCGUAAAUUUGUUCAGGAGGGAAAGCAGUGUGCUGGCAAGGAUUUGAUUGAAUUAAGUGACUUUAAUGGUACACGGAAAUUUUCAGUUUUGGCAGAAGGAGAGACUAAACCUGUUUUUUUAUCACUGAGUCACAACAAGGCCAAAGCAAAUUAUACUGUGACCUGUCACAAUGGCGAGUGUCAAUCAAAGAAGGGACACAAACGAUAUUUAAAUAACUUGAAUUCUUCCAAUCUUUGCAGACAUUUAUUUGUGCUGAAACAUAAUCCAGAAUCCUGGAUUGAUUUGCAUGAAAGAAAUGCCACUAAUGAAACUUUUUUAGAUGACCAACUACUAGAUGAUGAAACAAAUGAUGAUGCUGGUGAUGGUGAUCCUGUUGAUACUAAUGACAAUUUUGAUCCUGAAACAGGUCUAUGGAAGUAUAAGUGUGAGAGCAGCCAUCCAGCAGCAGCUAGAGAGAGUGAUAUGUUGAGGCGUAACAUCAUCAAACGUGACGGAUGGAAUGAUUUGACCUUGAGUAGGCAGGCUGAUGGUUCAUUGAAGGGUCCCAAUUUCUAUCCAGAUAUGCCAGACAAUACAUGCUGCUGUGGAUCUGGAUGGUUGAAGCGAGAUGAUGAUCCAGAUUACUCUGAAAACGGGAAAUUGAUUCCUUUAGGUCGAGUUCUUACAGUUUACACACAGUUUGCGCCUGUGCAGUGUGAUGUUUACAAAAGAGUCUGUUACAACCCGAUAGACGACAGUCGCUGUGAACUUGCAUGGAAUGAAGGCCAGAGUGAAUCAAUUCAUGUUUUUAGUAGUAAAACAGCUGCAGGUGACGAAAUAGGAUGGGAGUUUACAUCAUCAGUAAUGAAAACUGGUUGCACUUUUUCAGCAUACUGUCAGAUGAAGGAUGAACUUUACAGAACUCGUGACCCAAAGGCCAAGUUUAUGGAUGCAACAGUUUUUUUAAAAUGGUGGUUUAGUUGGGCAGCUAAUAUGAACAUUGAUUUCAGACAACCAUGUGACAUUUGUAGGUAUGAGCCUAAUAGACUGUGCUGUGAUGGAACCAGAGUAGGCGUAGGUUUCCGUCAUUCAAAUUUCACAGAAAUAAGUAAACCUGAUAGUUCUUUACAGACACAGCAAACAUUGCAUCGACGGAUGGACAGAUGUUACCUGAAGAAUAAGCCUGGAGUUGAAAAGAGACAGAUGAUCGCUUAUCGUGAAGCAUUGGAUAAUAUAGCCCGAACUACAGUUGCAGAAUUUGAACCGUUAGAUAUUCCAGAAAAUAAUGAUAGAAUUAAUUUACUUAUGCAGGCUCUACCUGAGGAGGCUCAUCAAUCAUUCCAGCGAUUUACUCGAGGGAUGUCAGAAUUUGAAAGAGUAGCUUAUGCAUCUGUCCUUAAGAUGUUGGCUACAACAGCAUCUGUGACAAGCAUUUUGUCACCAGAAUAUGCACUUUUCUUGCAGGAAUUUCUAACUAAUGAAAAUCUUUCAGAUUUUGAGUUUAACAGACAGAUGUAUGAGAUGAGAUCAUUUGCUCCAGAAAUACGGGACUUGAUCGCAGAAUCGAUGUUGAACAAUAACAACAUUCUACCUGAUGACAUUAAACUUUUUCUAGUUCAUCUUACUAAUGAGUCUCUAAACUUACCAGUUUAUGCCCCAGAGGAUGCUACUUUUCAAUUCGGAACAUACAACCCUGAGAAGCUGGGCCGGGCUUAUUACUUCAAUGAACAUGGUGUUAAACUGAGGAAUGUACGCAAAUUUCAGAUAGAUGAGGACCGAGCAGGCAGAAACAAUGACCAUGAUGAUGAAGCUAUGGACUUUGAGCGAUGCAGAAAGAUUUACUCAAAAAUACAACAAUCAGCACCCGGCACAUCUAACUUGUUUCUUUGGUUUUGUCCAGAUCACGGUCAUUGCUAUGGAUUCCACAUGACAGUGGCUGAAGGCAGAAAAGAUCCAUCAGCUUCAUUAUACUCUCAUCUAGCCAAACCUCCACAAGCAGUGUUUUAUGACUUUGCCUGUAACUUACAGGAAUAUUGCCUCAACAGAGAGAGUGGGUACUACAAGAAUGUUAGAUUUUUUCACGAUAUUUUUCAUGGUUAUUCACACAAAUGCUCUACUUCUUUUAGAAGCUCUCGACUUCAAGGAUUUGAAAGUGUGAACUCAGAAAUCUGCGAACAGUUCAACAGCUUCAUCCAGAUUCUGAAGAAAUCAGCAAGACAAAUGACACAAUCUCAUUUCUGUUUCUAUCUUCAGUUCUUUAUUCAUGAGUGGAACAGGAGAAAAAGAGUUGCUUACAAGAGGAAAAUCAGCACUGCACUAGCUGGGCUUUUAUGAAAUGUAUAACAACUUUGAUUUUCAGAGAGCUGUGCAUCAUAAAAUGAUCAAAUGAACUAUGUUUAAUUUAUAUUUCAUUCACUUCUUAUAUAUAUUUGUUUGACUUUCUCAUUUGCGUAUACUUUUGACUAGUAAUUAUCACUGCAUCUGCAAUUGUUUUCGGUUUCUGCUGUGUUUGUUAGUAUGUUUCAGUUUGAGCGAACAGACUCCAACUUUGGCUUCCAGCUUUGCUGUUGAGAAAGGUCAACAAGUUCCACCAGAAGUUCCACCAGAAAUACAUCACGUCUUUAAUGUUUGAGGCAGAUUUUCCACAGCGUCUUCAUCCAAUCUACUUGUGUCGGCAUGUGCAACUACUUAAUCUGAAGGCUUGGAGGGAAUUGUAGCUCAGUGCUUCAUCCUUUAUGUGGAUAAACAAAAGGGAACCAGAAGGAUCGAUCUAAAGACAUUCUUUUCAUAAAUCUGUUGGUGUCAAACAAUAUAAUUUUGAUUGAUCAGUCUUCUUAGUGCCUGUAGUGAACAGUAUGUAUUGUAUUAUAUGUAGUAUAAUAAUCAAUUAAGUGUUGAUAAAUGUCUUACAAUUAUCGUAUAACCCUUUAUAUCAAGUUUUGUUAUUUAAUUGUAGAACAGCAAAAGAAACAUUUGUGGAUUUUAAAAGAUAAGGCAGAGGCUAUGUUUACACUGUAAAUGUUCAACUGGUGAAUUCCAUUAUUUGUUGCAAUAUCUAGAUUUUGAUAAUGUAAGGAAUGAUUUCUGAUUAAAGUAUUACAAUAGGAAUCCAAUCUCUGUUAUGCUUAAAGAUGCACUUUUACUCCCAAAUUAGAUAUUCCACAGUUUAUAUGAUUGUUUUUUAUAUAAAAAAAUAAGAUUCUUAUGAAGGAUACAGAGUUGAAUUUGAAAGAAGGUUGCA